Molecule: long non-coding RNA, 1228 nt
Organism: Zingiber officinale
Lineage: Eukaryota; Viridiplantae; Streptophyta; Magnoliopsida; Zingiberales; Zingiberaceae
Exons: 4
Source: RefSeq, a predicted model, not a curated record
CAAGGGUUUUAAUUGGUACAGUUUUCCGCACCUAGACUUAGUAAUGGUCAUGGAUAUAGCUUAGCACAGCAUAAUGUGACGGUCCGGCCUUACAGCCUAACCAGUAGAAGGCGGGUCGUCACACUUUUCCUUUCCGCUUUUUCCCUUGUUGUAGUUUCUAUUUGGACCCGAAGAAAUCGUAAAAAUUAUCAACUUUUCAUUAUCUUCUCUAAUGGUAAAAGUCUGCACUAUCAUAAUGUACUUAACUUUUGUCUAACUUGAUCUAAUCUAAUUCCAAUUUAUCUUGCUCUAAGUGCAGUGAUCUUUGAUUAAAACAGUGCUUUCAAUCCUUUACAGGAAAGGCAUUGCAGAGGUGAAAAAAGAGUACAUUGCCUGUCUCAAAUCUUUUGAUUACCAAUCAGAAAAAUGCAAGCACCUAUCAAAGAAAUACUUGCAAUGCCGAAUGGAAAGAAACUUGAUGGCGAAACAAGACCUAUUAGAGCUUAGUUUUCGCAAUGCUACAACAAAUUUAUCCGAGAAGCCCUUGAUCCCUCCUUUGAAAUAAUAAUUGUUGAUCAAGUUGUAUCUGCUAUUGCUUGAAUCAGUUGAUUAAGGUUGCAAGUUGAGCCUGUACUUUCAAUAAGACUAGAAAUUUUAUCCUUUAAUCAAGUAGUAGCUUCUUGAUUGAGUUUAUUUAGCAUAUGAAACUCAUUUAAGAUUUAUGGUUUGUUGUUCAAUUUUUUUGGACCUCAUACUUGUUAUAAUUUUUGGUUUAUAAUGCAUUGAACCUUAUUUAACAUUGUUUAAAUUUUAAAGUGUGUAUUUAAAUACAUAUAUAAUAAGUAGCCUUAUUGAAGAAACUACAGUGCCAAAGAGGGGACAUUAUUGCAGUCAUUCAAAGGUUUAAUAUCCAAGUUAGCAAUUUGACUCAAGGAGUGAAGAGUUACUCUGUGAAGUUGAUGAGGACUACAUAUUAAGGUCUGGAUUUAUUAUGAAAGUGAUGAUCAACAAUGUUGGAAAAGGUUGACAUGGAAGAAUCAGCAAGUGGGAAAGAGGAGUUCAAUGAAAUCCUACAAGUUGAAGAUUGUGAUGGGACUUGGGUUGGCAAUAAUUAAGUGCAAUCUUACUUAGCAUGAACCACCAUCACAAGUUUCUAGUCUUUUAGCUAUUGUUCAUUAGUUGUAAAUGGAGUUUAUUCAUUUAUUUGUAUUGAGAUAAAUUUUAUUUGAAUAUGAGAUAUGUUUUUUUU